RNAcentral lists this long non-coding RNA (359 nucleotides) under Nicotiana benthamiana. RNAcentral describes it as "long non-coding RNA (NBEN_LNC007955)". The record is from RNAcentral. Lineage: Eukaryota; Viridiplantae; Streptophyta; Magnoliopsida; Solanales; Solanaceae.
UUCCAGCUUGCCUCAUGACACGGAUGAGACAUAAGGAUGAGUUCCCCUCAGACCAAUGAGUAUGGGGAAUGGUGCGUCUCGAGAACGGACAAUGAAUUCUCCUAUUGGGAACCACUCAAACAUCUACUGAACUUGCUCUUCUUUUAGAUUUUUCAACAACUCUACCCAUCCGCUGGCGUCCUCUGGCUGAGCGAACAUGUUGGGCAUGAAGUUCAUUCUCUUUGGGUGAUGAAAAGCGACAUGGUCAUCCCAAUCCCUGCGUAUGAUUUCCUAUCUAUUGUCGCCUUUCUGAAGGUGUUCUAUGAGCCAAAUUUGAAGUAGCAGAUUACAACCCUCGAAAUGCGGAGCCCCUUGCUGAC